RNAcentral lists this ribosomal RNA (253 nucleotides) under uncultured bacterium. RNAcentral describes it as "partial 16S ribosomal RNA". It matches the Rfam family "Bacterial small subunit ribosomal RNA", at positions 524 to 776 of the family's 1533-position model. The record is from RNAcentral.
UACGUAGGGUGCAAGCGUUGUCCGGAAUUAUUGGGCGUAAAGAGCUCGUAGGCGGCUUGUCACGUCGGAUGUGAAAGCCCGGGGCUUAACCCCGGGUCUGCAUUCGAUACGGGCAGGCUAGAGUGUGGUAGGGGAGAUCGGAAUUCCUGGUGUAGCGGUGAAAUGCGCAGAUAUCAGGAGGAACACCGGUGGCGAAGGCGGAUCUCUGGGCCAUUACUGACGCUGAGGAGCGAAAGCGUGGGGAGCGAACAGG